This 64-nucleotide transfer RNA is filed under the name Conanalus pieli. RNAcentral's name for it is "tRNA-Thr". It matches the Rfam family "tRNA". From Rfam's summary of the family: Transfer RNA (tRNA) molecules are approximately 80 nucleotides in length. Lineage: Eukaryota; Metazoa; Arthropoda; Insecta; Orthoptera; Tettigoniidae. The record is from RNAcentral.
GUUUUAAUAGUUUAAAAAAAACACUGGUCUUGUAAACCAGAAAUAAGAAACUUCUUUUAAAACU